AGUGGAAGCGUCUGGAAAGGCGCGCGAUACAGGGUGACAGCCCCGUACACAAAAGCGCAUGUGCUGUGAGCUCGAUGAGUAGGGCGGGACACGUGGUAUCCUGUCUGAAUAUGGGGGGACCAUCCUCCAAGGCUAAAUACUCCUGACUGACCGAUAGUGAACCAGUACCGUGAGGGAAAGGCGAAAAGAACCCCGGCGAGGGGAGUGAAAAAGAACCUGAAACCGUGUACGUACAAGCAGUGGGAGCACCCUUCGGGGUGUGACUGCGUACCUUUUGUAUAAUGGGUCAGCGACUUAUAUUCUGUAGCAAGGUUAACCGUAUAGGGGAGCCGGAGGGAAACCGAGUCUUAA
This 351-nucleotide ribosomal RNA is filed under the name Salmonella enterica subsp. enterica serovar Typhimurium. Its description in RNAcentral is "bacterial LSU rRNA". It matches the Rfam family "Bacterial large subunit ribosomal RNA", at positions 331 to 687 of the family's 2925-position model. Lineage: Bacteria; Pseudomonadati; Pseudomonadota; Gammaproteobacteria; Enterobacterales; Enterobacteriaceae. RNAcentral also lists the same sequence under 1 other name. The record is from RNAcentral.